This 868-nucleotide long non-coding RNA is filed under the name Callithrix jacchus (white-tufted-ear marmoset). Its description in RNAcentral is "lncRNA (ENSCJAG00000085796.1)". The record is from RNAcentral. Lineage: Eukaryota; Metazoa; Chordata; Mammalia; Primates; Cebidae.
GGACAAUGGUCAAGUCAGACCCUCCUAGUUUCACAUUCCAGGUUUCUCUACUAGCUGUAACACCUUGAACAAGUUAAUUAAACUUACUGAACCUUUCUUUCUCCAUCUUUACAACAGGAAUAGCAAGGGCUGCUAUGUAGGAUUAUUGUGAGAAUUUAAUAAAACAAUGUAUGUCAAGUCUUUUGAGUAGUGCCUGGUAUAUAGUAAAAACACAAAAAAUAUUGACAUCAUCAUCGUCAUUAUCAUCUGGUCCUGGUAGGUAUGAUCUGUGAGCAGAAAUUAUUUUUUAGUAGUUAAUCCAUGACUUAGGUAAUUUAAAUAAUUAUUACUAGACUAGCCAGACCCAGUUAUGUUUGAUUUUGAAUCUUCACUUGUUUUUCCUAGAGCUAUGAAAAAUAAGCCACACAAACUGCACCACCCUAUUUGGCUUUGGGGAUGGGAUCAGACUAGUAAGAACAUGUGCACAUUUGUAUGAUGUCUCCUGGAUCUCAAACACCUCCCAUAAGUCUCAGCCUUACUGAAGAUCCUAAAGCUAUGGAAAAGAAGCUAUAAAUAACCAGAGAGAUUUGUAGAUAAAUAUAGUUGGACCUAGACAUCUGGAGUGGCUCUUCAAGAGGCACCAAGUAUAUGUAUAAAUAGGACAUCAUUCCUGCCUUCAAAAAGUAUGCAGUAUGUGCAUCUUGGGCUGAAGAUACAACGUAAGCAAAGGCACAGAGUUCCAUAGGUAUGUGGCAAGGAUCUCUGCUGGGGAGGACUCAGCUUCGUCUCCUUACCAGCUGCACAUCAGGGUACCACCAUAUGUUCACCCCUCUGCAGUGCCGUGCAAUGCCACUGAAAUGUGAGGCAAAAGAAAACAUCUGUAGUACUG